AUUUGGUUUCUGGUAUGUGUAUCUCUGUAAAUAUUUCUAGUUAUUCUAAAGUUAUCUCUGUAAUUUACAGGUUAUCGCUGUCAUUUGGUUUCUGGUAUGUGUAUCUCUGUAAAUAUUUCUAGUUAUUCUAAAGUUAUCUCUGUAAUUUACAGGUUAUCGCUGUCAUUUGGUUUCUGGUAUGUGUAUCUCUGUAAAUAUUUCUAGUUAUUCUAAAGUUAUCUCUGUAAUUUACAGGUUAUCGCUGUCAUUUGGUUUCUGGUAUGUGUAUCUCUGUAAAUAUUUCUAGUUAUUCUAAAGUUAUCUCUGUAAUUUACAGGUUAUCGCUGUCAUUUGGUUUCUGGUAUGUGUAUCUCUGUAAAUAUUUCUAGUUAUUCUAAAGUUAUCUCUGUAAUUUA
Oncorhynchus gorbuscha (pink salmon) is the source of this 395-nucleotide long non-coding RNA. RefSeq lists it as uncharacterized. Lineage: Eukaryota; Metazoa; Chordata; Actinopteri; Salmoniformes; Salmonidae. The record is from RefSeq and is a predicted model, not a curated record. The transcript has 2 exons.